AAACACGGACCAAGGAGUCUAGACUAUGCGCGAGUCAAAGGGCUGGCUAAACCCCAAGGCGAAACGAAAGUGAAAGUUUUCGAUACGGGCCGAUCCGGUUCGGGGUGUGCUGCGAGGACGGGGUUCUCUCCGUCUUCGUUUCCCCCCGAUUUACUACUGAGAUAUGUAGACGGCGCAGGCCCGGGGCUCGCUAACGCUUCCUCCCCGUCGUUAAGGCUUAUCCGUUCGUCUGUCGGGCGUUCGCUCGGCGGCGGUAGGUCGAUCUGACUUGCUUCGAGGCAGCGGUUGCGGCGUCCUUUAGGGGGCGUCGUGGUCGUUCGUUCUCGUCGUCGGCGGUCGGCCGAUUCCGCCGUUGUGGAUAACGCUCGAGGCGGCGGUUCGCUGGCGUGGGACGAGCAGCGGGUUCUCCGAGCGCAUAUUCUGGUACCCGAAAGAUGGUGAUCUAUGCCUGGCCAGGAUGAAGCCAGAGGAAACUCUGGUGGAGGUCCGUAGCGAUUCUGACGUGCAAAUCGAUCGUCG
RNAcentral lists this ribosomal RNA (519 nucleotides) under Balloniscus sellowii. Its description in RNAcentral is "partial large subunit ribosomal RNA". It matches the Rfam family "Eukaryotic large subunit ribosomal RNA", at positions 657 to 907 of the family's 3401-position model. The record is from RNAcentral. Lineage: Eukaryota; Metazoa; Arthropoda; Malacostraca; Isopoda; Balloniscidae.